This 269-nucleotide long non-coding RNA is filed under the name Cavia porcellus (domestic guinea pig). RNAcentral's name for it is "lncRNA (ENSCPOG00000040110.1)". Lineage: Eukaryota; Metazoa; Chordata; Mammalia; Rodentia; Caviidae. The record is from RNAcentral.
GGCCAGUAGAAAUGCUCUAGCGGGAUGAAGCUGCUAUGAAGGCCUUCCUUUCCCUCUUGUUCCUCCCUUCUGAGCUUUCUUUCUUCAUCCCGGCUCCUCCAGGAUGUGCCUGUCCGGAGCUCCACUGCGAGUAGAUUCAGCCCAGCCGUGCCUGCAGCUUGCCUCGACACUCAGGACUCCAGCCAGACAUGACUUGAGUCUCUCCAUCCUCGGAAUUCCUGUAGCCUUCACUGCCUUACUUCCCAUUUUGAAUUUUUAUUGUACUUCCC